This 252-nucleotide ribosomal RNA is filed under the name uncultured bacterium. RNAcentral's name for it is "partial 16S ribosomal RNA". It matches the Rfam family "Bacterial small subunit ribosomal RNA", at positions 524 to 776 of the family's 1533-position model. The record is from RNAcentral.
UACGGAGGAUGCGAGCAUUAUCCGGAUUUAUUGGGUUUAAAGGGUGCGCAGGCGGCACGGCAAGCCGGCGGUCAAAUCGCGGGGCUCAACCCCGCCCAGCCGUCGGAACUGCCGGGCUAGAGUGGGCGAGAAGUGCGCGGAAUGCGUGGUGUAGCGGUGAAAUGCAUAGAUAUCACGCAGAACUCCGAUUGCGAAGGCAGCGCACCGGCGCCCUACUGACGCUCAGGCACGAAAGCGUGGGUAUCGAACAGG